UAACUCUUUAAUUUUAUCUACUUAUGUCACUGAGUCCUUUUCUAGGCAAUCAGCUGACAGAUGGCUGGUGCACAGGAGAUUGGAGAGCAACUCAGCAGAUCAUCAUGCAUGUUGUACCGAAGAACAAUCUGAUGGGUCUUGUUUUUCCAAAGCAUAGAGCUAAGAUUUGAGAACCUCACUGAGUGAAUCAGAGGAGCAUGAUGCAAAGAGCCAAGAAAUGUAGAAUCAAAAUAUCUUGGGACAGCAAGAUUAUCAAUUGAGAUCACUACCCUAAUAUGCAAUGAGCUGCAUAGAAGAGGAACACUGCUAAAAAUCACAUACUAGCUGCAGAAAAGUAAGCAAAAGACAAAAACCUUGGCCCUGGUCACAGUUUGUGAAGGUCAUCACCAAAAUCAAGUGCAACUAAACAG
Molecule: long non-coding RNA, 410 nt
Organism: Empidonax traillii (willow flycatcher)
Lineage: Eukaryota; Metazoa; Chordata; Aves; Passeriformes; Tyrannidae
Exons: 3
Source: RefSeq, a predicted model, not a curated record